RNAcentral lists this ribosomal RNA (254 nucleotides) under uncultured bacterium. RNAcentral describes it as "partial 16S ribosomal RNA". It matches the Rfam family "Bacterial small subunit ribosomal RNA", at positions 524 to 776 of the family's 1533-position model. The record is from RNAcentral.
UACGUAGGGCGCAAGCGUUGUCCGGAAUUAUUGGGCGUAAAGAGCUCGUAGGCGGCUUGUCACGUCGGGUGUGAAAGCCCGGGGCUUAACCCCCGGGUCUGCAUUCGAUACGGGCUAGCUAGAGUGUGGUAGGGGAGAUCGGAAUUCCUGGUGUAGCGGUGAAAUGCGCAGAUAUCAGGAGGAACACCGGUGGCGAAGGCGGGUCUCUGGGCCGAUACUGACGCUGAGGAGCGAAAGCGUGGGGAGCGAACAGG